GAUGAACGCUGGCGGCGUGCCUAAUACAUGCAAGUCGAGCGAACAGACGAGGAGCUUGCUCCUCUGACGUUAGCGGCGGACGGGUGAGUAACACGUGGAUAACCUACCUAUAAGACUGGGAUAACUUCGGGAAACCGGAGCUAAUACCGGAUAAUAUAUUGAACCGCAUGGUUCAAUAGUGAAAGACGGUUUUGCUGUCACUUAUAGAUGGAUCCGCGCCGCAUUAGCUAGUUGGUAAGGUAACGGCUUACCAAGGCAACGAUGCGUAGCCGACCUGAGAGGGUGAUCGGCCACACUGGAACUGAGACACGGUCCAGACUCCUACGGGAAGCAGCAGUAGGGAAUCUUCCGCAAUGGGCGAAAGCCUGACGGAGCAACGCCGCGUGAGUAAUGAAGGUCUUCGGAUCGUAAAACUCUGUUAUUAGGGAAGAACAAAUGUGUAAGUAACUAUGCACGUCUUGACGGUACCUAAUCAGAAAGCCACGGCUAACUACGUG
RNAcentral lists this ribosomal RNA (497 nucleotides) under uncultured bacterium. RNAcentral describes it as "partial 16S ribosomal RNA". It matches the Rfam family "Bacterial small subunit ribosomal RNA", at positions 28 to 507 of the family's 1533-position model. The record is from RNAcentral.